AGAGUUUGAUCCUGGCUCAGGACGAACGCUGGCGGAGUGCUUCAUACAUGCAAGUCGAACGGGCACCAUGCAGUAGCAAUACUGCGGAAGUGCUAGUGGCGAACGGGUGAGUAACACGUGAGGAACCUGCCCCGAACUCUGGGAUAACAGGCGGAAACGCCUGCUAAUACCGGAUAGCACCAGCGGAUCGCAUGGUCUGCUGAUGAAAGUUUUUCGGUUCGGGAUGGUCUCGCGGCCUAUCAGCUAGUUGGUGGGGUAACGGCCUACCAAGGCAUCGACGGGUAGCUGGUCUGAGAGGAUGAUCAGCCACACUGGGACUGAGACACGGCCCAGACUCCUACGGGAGGCAGCAGUAGGGAAUCUUGCGCAAUGGGCGAAAGCCUGACGCAGCAACUCCGCGUGCGGGAAGAAGGCCUUCGGGUUGUAAACCGCUUUUGGCAGGAACGAAAAUGACGGUACCUGCAGAAGAAGAUGCGGCCAACUACGUGCCAGCAGCCGCGGUGACACGUAGGCAUCAAGCGUUGUCCGGAUUUAUUGGGCGUAAAGAGCUCGUAGGCGGUUCAGUAAGUCGGGUGUGAAAACUCAGGGCUUAACCCUGAGACGCCACUCGAUACUGCUGGGCUAGAAUUCGGUAGGGGAGUGGGGAAUUCCUGGUGUAGCGGUGAAAUGCGCAGAUAUCAGGAGGAACACCGGUGGCGAAGGCGCCACUCUGGGCCGAUAUUGACGCUGAGGAGCGAAAGCGUGGGUAGCAAACAGGAUUAGAUAC
This 766-nucleotide ribosomal RNA is filed under the name uncultured Actinomycetes bacterium. RNAcentral's name for it is "bacterial SSU rRNA". It matches the Rfam family "Bacterial small subunit ribosomal RNA", at positions 8 to 785 of the family's 1533-position model. The record is from RNAcentral. Lineage: Bacteria; Bacillati; Actinomycetota; Actinomycetes.